Molecule: ribosomal RNA, 430 nt
Filed under: uncultured bacterium
Lineage: Bacteria
Description: bacterial SSU rRNA
Rfam family: Bacterial small subunit ribosomal RNA
Source: RNAcentral
UAGGGAAUAUUGCUCAAUGGGGGAAACCCUGAAGCAGCAACGCCGCGUGAGUGAUGAAGGCCUUCGGGUCGUAAAGCUCUGUUCUAGGGGGCGAAUGUCGGUAUGGCUAACAUCCAUAUCGAGUGACAGUACCCUAGGAGAAAGCACCGGCUAACUUCGUGCCAGCAGCCGCGGUAAGACGGGGGGUGCAAGCGUUGUUCGGAAUCAUUGGGCGUAAAGCGCGUGCAGGUGGCUUUGUAAGUCAGAUGUGAAAGCCCCGGGCUUAACCCGGGAAGUGCAUUUGAAACUGCAAGGCUUGAGUAUCGAAGAGGGUCGUGGAAUUCCUGGUGUAGUGGUGAAAUACGUAGAUAUCAGGAGGAACACCGGUGGCGAAGGCGGCGACCUGGUCGAAUACUGACACUCAUACGCGAAAGCGUGGGUAGCAAACAGG